GCCUGGGUGGCUCAGUGGUGGAGUAUCUGCCUUUAGAUCAGAGUAUGAUCCCAGGGUCCUGGGAUCAAGUCCCAUAUCAGGUU
RNAcentral lists this transfer RNA (83 nucleotides) under Canis lupus familiaris (dog). It matches the Rfam family "tRNA". Rfam says of the family: Transfer RNA (tRNA) molecules are approximately 80 nucleotides in length. Their secondary structure includes four short double-helical elements and three loops (D, anti-codon, and T loops). Further hydrogen bonds mediate the characteristic L-shaped molecular structure. tRNAs have two regions of fundamental functional importance: the anti-codon, which is responsible for specific mRNA codon recognition, and the 3' end, to which the tRNAs corresponding amino acid is attached (by aminoacyl-tRNA synthetases). tRNAs cope with the degeneracy of the genetic code in two manners: having more than one tRNA (with a specific anti-codon) for a particular amino acid; and 'wobble' base-pairing, i.e. permitting non-standard base-pairing at the 3rd anti-codon position. RNAcentral also lists the same sequence under 1 other name. The record is from Rfam by way of RNAcentral. Lineage: Eukaryota; Metazoa; Chordata; Mammalia; Carnivora; Canidae.